Molecule: ribosomal RNA, 492 nt
Filed under: uncultured bacterium
Lineage: Bacteria
Description: partial 16S ribosomal RNA
Rfam family: Bacterial small subunit ribosomal RNA
Source: RNAcentral
AGUGAACGCUGGCGGUAGGCCUAACACAUGCAAGUCGAACGGCAGCACAGUAAGAGCUCGCUCUUACGGGUGGCGAGUGGCGGACGGGUGAGGAAUACAUCGGAAUCUACUUUUUCGUGGGGGAUUACGUAGGGAAACUUACGCUAAUACCGCAUACGACCUACGGGUGAAAGCAGGGGAUCUUCGGACCUUGCGCGAUUGAAUGAGCCGAUGUCGGAUUAGCUAGUUGGCGGGGUAAAGGCCCACCAAGGCGACGAUCCGUAGCUGGUCUGAGAGGAUGAUCAGCCACACUGGAACUGAGACACGGUCCAGACUCCUACGGGAGGCAGCAGUGGGGAAUAUUGGACAAUGGGCGCAAGCCUGAUCCAGCCAUACCGCGUGGGUGAAGAAGGCCUUCGGGUUGUAAAGCCCUUUUGUUGGGAAAGAAAAGCAGCAGGUUAAUACCCCGCUGUUCUGACGGUACCCAAAGAAUAAGCACCGGCUAACUUCGUG